Molecule: ribosomal RNA, 253 nt
Filed under: uncultured bacterium
Lineage: Bacteria
Description: partial 16S ribosomal RNA
Rfam family: Bacterial small subunit ribosomal RNA
Source: RNAcentral
UACGAAAGGUGCAAGCGUUAAUCGGAAUUACUGGGCGUAAAGCGCGCGUAGGCGGCUUAGUAAGUUAGAUGUGAAAGCCCCGGGCUCAACCUGGGAACUGCAUCUAAAACUGCUAGGCUAGAGUAUGGUAGAGGAUGGCGGAAGUUCCUGUGUAGCGGUGAAAUGCGUAGAUAUAGGAAGGAACAUCAGUGGCGAAGGCGGCCAUCUGGACCAAUACUGACGCUGAGGUGCGAAAGCGUGGGGAGCAAACAGG